Molecule: ribosomal RNA, 475 nt
Filed under: uncultured bacterium
Lineage: Bacteria
Description: bacterial SSU rRNA
Rfam family: Bacterial small subunit ribosomal RNA
Source: RNAcentral
CUCUGUGACUCCUACGGGGAGGCAGCAGUGGGGAAUAUUGCACAAUGGGGGAAACCCUGAUGCAGCCAUGCCGCGUGUGUGAAGAAGGCCUUCGGGUUGUAAAGCACUUUCAGUAGGGAGGAAGGUAGUGUAGUUAACACCUGCACUAUUUGACGUUACCUACAGAAGAAGCACCGGCUAACUCCGUGCCAGCAGCCGCGGUAAUACGGAGGGUGCGAGCGUUAAUCGGAAUUACUGGGCGUAAAGCGCAUGCAGGCGGCCUGUUAAGUCAGAUGUGAAAGCCCGGGGCUUAACCUCGGAAUUGCAUUUGAAACUGGCAGGCUAGAGUCUUGUAGAGGGGGGUAGGAAUUUCAGGUGUAGCGGUGAAAUGCGUAGAGAUCUGAAGGAAUACCAGUGGCGAAGGCGGCCCCCUGGACAAAGACUGACGCUCAGAUGCGAAAGCGUGGGGAGCAAACAGGAUUAGAUACCCUGGGAG